UUGACCUCGAAUCAGGUAGGGAUACCCGCUGAACUUAAGCAUAUCAAUAAGCGGAGGAAANNNNNNNUAGUGCUCUCCGCGUAGUCACUUAUCUCGCGAGAGGGUGGUGCUGGACCCAGCCAAGCAACCGAGGUGGUCCGAUGGGAACCGUCGGGCCCUCGCUCUCUCUAUGGUUGACCUCGAAUCAGGUAGGGAUACCCGCUGAACUUAAGCAUAUCAAUAAGCGGAGGAAAAGAAACCAACCGGGAUUACCUCAGUAACGGCGAGUGAAGCGGUAACAGCUCAAAUUUGAAAUCUGGCUCCCCUCGCGCGGAGUCCGAGUUGUAAUUUGUAGAAGAUGCUUUGGGUGCUCGGCCCGGUCUAAGUUCCUUGGAACAGGACGUCGUAGAGGGUGAGAAUCCCGUAUGCGGCCGGGACGCACGCCCGUGUAAAGCUCUUUCGACGAGUCGAGUUGUUUGGGAAUGCAGCUCAAAAUGGGUGGUAAAUUUCAUCUAAAGCUAAAUAUGGGCCAGAGACCGAUAGCGCACAAGUAGAGUGAUCGAAAGAUGAAAAGCACUUUGGAAAGAGAGUUAAACAGUACGUGAAAUUGUUGAAAGGGAAGCGCUUGCAACCAGACUUGGGCGUCGCGGAUCAUCCAAAGUUUUCUUUGGUGCACUCGGCGAUGCACAGGCCAGCAUCGGUUGGGGUGGUGGGAGAAAGGUCGUAGGAACGUAGCUCCUUUCGGGGAGUGUUAUAGCCUGCGGCGCAAUGUCGCCUACCCUGACCGAGGACCGCGCUUCGGCUAGGAUGCUGGCGUAAUGGUUGUAAGCGACCCGUCUUGAAACACGGACCAAGGAGUCUAACAUCUAUGCGAGUGUUUGGGUGCAAAACCC
Molecule: ribosomal RNA, 872 nt
Filed under: Phyllactinia sp. MUMH 3723
Lineage: Eukaryota; Fungi; Ascomycota; Leotiomycetes; Helotiales; Erysiphaceae
Description: eukaryotic LSU rRNA
Rfam family: Eukaryotic large subunit ribosomal RNA (bases 175-872)
Source: RNAcentral